This 53-nucleotide transfer RNA is filed under the name Myobatrachus gouldii (turtle frog). Its description in RNAcentral is "partial tRNA-Met". The record is from RNAcentral. Lineage: Eukaryota; Metazoa; Chordata; Amphibia; Anura; Myobatrachidae.
AAAGCUUUCGGGCCCAUACCCCGAACAUGUUGGUUAAACCCCCUCCUUUACUA